Molecule: ribosomal RNA, 331 nt
Filed under: uncultured fungus
Lineage: Eukaryota; Fungi
Description: partial small subunit ribosomal RNA
Rfam family: Eukaryotic small subunit ribosomal RNA
Source: RNAcentral
GCUUGUCUCAAAGAUUAAGCCAUGCAUGUCUAAGUGUAAAUACGUCUACACUGUGAAACUGCGAAUGGCUCAUUAAAUCAGUUAUCGUUUAUUUGAUGAUCUCUUGUUACAUGGAUAACCGUAGUAAUUCUAGAGCUAAUACAUGCGCAAAUACCCAACUGCUUGUCGGACGGGUAGCAUUUAUUAGAUUGAAACCAAUGCAGUCUUCGGGCUGGUAUUGUGUUGAGUCAUAAUAACUGUGCGGAUCGCAUUCAAUGCGAUAAAUCGAUUGAGUUUCUGCCCUAUCAGCUUUGGAUGGUAGGAUAUGGGCCUACCAUGGCAUUAACGGGUA